CCUACGGGAGGCAGCAGUAAGGAAUAUUGGACAAUGCUCGCAAGAGUGAUCCAGCCAUGCCGCGUGCAGGAAGAAUGCCCUAUGGGUAGUAAACUGCUUUUGAACUAGAGAAAACCCCAGUACGUGUACUGGGCUGAUAGUAUAGUUAGAAUAAGCAUCGGCUAACUUCGUGCCAGCAGCCGCGGUAAGACGAAGGAUGCAAGCGUUAUCCGGAUUCAUUGGGUUUAAAGGGAGCGUAGGUGGACUGAUAAGUCAGUGGUGAAAUCUCCGAGCUUAACUCGGAAAUUGCCAUUGAUACUGUUGGUCUUGAGUACAGUUGCUGUGGGCGGAAUAUGACAUGUAGUGGUGAAAUACAUAGAGAUGUCAUAGAACACCGAUUGCGAAGGCAGCUCACAAAGCUGUAACUGACACUGAGGCUCGAAAGUGCGGGGAUCAAACAGGAUUAGAUACCCUGGUAGUCCGCACCGUAAACGAUGAUUACUCGCUGCUAGGGGGCAACCUUUAGUGGCUUAGCGAAAGCGAUAAGUAAUCCACCUGGGGAGUACGCCGGCAACGGUGAAACUUAANAGAGAGAGNGNGNGAGAGNGACGAGACGACGAGGAGGAGAG
Molecule: ribosomal RNA, 608 nt
Filed under: uncultured bacterium
Lineage: Bacteria
Description: bacterial SSU rRNA
Rfam family: Bacterial small subunit ribosomal RNA
Source: RNAcentral